AACGCUAGCUACAGGCUUAACACAUGCAAGUCGAGGGGAAACGAUAUUGGAAGCUUGCUUCCGAUAGGCGUCGACCGGCGCACGGGUGAGUAACGCGUAUCCAACCUGCCCACCACUUGGGGAUAACCUUGCGAAAGUAAGACUAAUACCCAAUGACGUCUCUAGAAGACAUCUGAAAGAGAUUAAAGAUUUAUCGGUGAUGGAUGGGGAUGCGUCUGAUUAGCUUGUUGGCGGGGUAACGGCCCACCAAGGCAACGAUCAGUAGGGGUUCUGAGAGGAAGGUCCCCCACAUUGGAACUGAGACACGGUCCAAACUCCUACGGGAGGCAGCAGUGAGGAAUAUUGGUCAAUGGACGAGAGUCUGAACCAGCCAAGUAGCGUGCAGGAAGACGGCCCUAUGGGUUGUAAACUGCUUUUAUAAGGGAAUAAAGUGAGUCUCGUGAGACUUUUUGCAUGUACCUUAUGAAUAAGGACCGGCUAAUUCCGUGCCAGCAGCCGCGGUAAUACGGAAGGUCCGGGCGUUAUCCGGAUUUAUUGGGUUUAAAGGGAGCGUAGGCCGGAGAUUAAGCGUGUUGUGAAAUGUAGACGCUCAACGUCUGCACUGCAGCGCGAACUGGUUUCCUUGAGUACGCACAAAGUGGGCGGAAUUCGUGGUGUAGCGGUGAAAUGCUUAGAUAUCACGAAGAACUCCGAUUG
Molecule: ribosomal RNA, 696 nt
Filed under: uncultured bacterium
Lineage: Bacteria
Description: bacterial SSU rRNA
Rfam family: Bacterial small subunit ribosomal RNA
Source: RNAcentral